This is a long non-coding RNA of Pecten maximus, 1605 nucleotides long. RefSeq lists it as uncharacterized. The transcript is spliced from 2 exons. The record is from RefSeq and is a predicted model, not a curated record. Lineage: Eukaryota; Metazoa; Mollusca; Bivalvia; Pectinida; Pectinidae.
AGGAGGAGAAACAGUCUGACGUCCAUCAAAAUGACGAAAAUGCAACCAUGGUGACCGACAACGAGACUACAGCUAAGAAGGAGCGAAGGAGAAAGAAAAGAGAAAAAAGGGACAGAGAGAUGAUUGAUAGAGAAGGUUUAAUAAAUCCUACAACUGUGGUAGAUGCUUCGCAUACCGAAAAUUACCCCAGCUUAUCACACAAUGACCGAACACACCUACUCUCUCCCGCAACAAACGGGGUCACAGAAUGAUCAAACACAUUUACCCCAGCCGCUCACAGUGUCGCACAAUGUAAAUAAGGAUCCAACCAGGACAAAGAAGAAAAAGAGAAGAAAGUUAGAGGAAGAACCAGACACCAGAGAGACGUCAAUGAUUAGUAUUGAUAGCUGAAAAUGUGACGUUAUAGAAGUUUUAAGAUCUUUUUUUACGUUUUCGUGUGAUAAUUUUGAAUUUCUAAAUAUUUUUUAAUGUUAUCCGGAAUAAUAUUCUCGCAACGCCCUGAUAAUGACGUCCUAUCAAAACAAAGGAGAUCAAUUGUGUUAAUUUGUAUGUCGUAACGUGAAGUUAAUAUGUGAUAACGUACUAUCGUUCUUGUGUCGUUGUCGUUGGAAGCAAUAAUUCCAUACGUAUUUUCUUGUCUGUUUUAUUGACACAUUUCUUUUACUUGUGUUGAGGAUUGAAUGUUGUUGUUACAAUUCAAUUCACCACCCAAUGAAAUCGACCAAAGCAGCAUUCAAUCCUCAUAUUCAGAUAACAUGCAUUUUUCCUAAUUGUGCAAGUCUAAUAAUUUGUGUUAAACGAAAUAGUCUGUAAUUGGAAGAGGAUACGUUUAUACAAAACUUUCGCAAUAACAAAAUAUCAAAAAUAGCAUGAUUUAAUUGAAAUAUUAAUUUUGUCGUUGAAUUGAAGAUUUAUUAUAAAAACGCUCCGCCAGUUGUGCUGAUGAUUAAUGACUACAUUGUGUUCUCCAGUUGUCUCCCGCUUCACCAUCUUGACAGCGACUUGACACGAAUGCUUGAUUCCCAGUCCACUGUCCGCACGGACGGUUUACAGGAUCGGGAUAGAAUCGGUUCGUCUAAGAGAUGAUUAUGUACAUGUGUUAAUUUGGGUAAUAAAUGGGGAUAAAUAAAGCAGUUUGAAUGAAUUUUGAAUAAAUACAAAAUCAGGCAUCAUUCUUGGGAGGGAAGUAGGAAUGUUUACCUCUUUUUUCAAUAGACUAGACUAGACUAGAAUACAAAUCUAACAAAGAGUCUUAUUCACUUCAUCCAAACCCCUGAUAGGCUCACAUGUAUGUUAUUUCCGACUCAGAACUCAGAGUAUUCCCCACAAAGGCUUAAUGUACACGUAUCAUUUAGGUAUAGGCCUACAAUCUAGGGCAGAAGCGUGCACUUUAAUAUUUUCAUAUGCGUAGAUUGAUUUUUAUCUGGUCAAAUUAAACAGCUUUAAUUUGGUAGUUUCAUUGAGGCCAACUUUAAUAGAAAUUGAUAUAUUUGUUUUGUUUGUUGAAUGUUUAGUUUUGUUGUUGUUGUUUUGUUGUUUUUUGUUUUUUGUUUUGAUAAUUUUCUUAUCAGCAUUUCUAAAAUGCAAUAAACUAGUGUUUCAAUA